GUCCCAGUAGCUCAGCGGAUAGAGCAACGGCCUUCUAAGCCGUGGGCCGGGGGUUCGAAUCCCUCCUGGGACGCCA
This 76-nucleotide transfer RNA is filed under the name Candidatus Desulfopertinax cowenii. It matches the Rfam family "tRNA". From Rfam's summary of the family: Transfer RNA (tRNA) molecules are approximately 80 nucleotides in length. Their secondary structure includes four short double-helical elements and three loops (D, anti-codon, and T loops). Further hydrogen bonds mediate the characteristic L-shaped molecular structure. tRNAs have two regions of fundamental functional importance: the anti-codon, which is responsible for specific mRNA codon recognition, and the 3' end, to which the tRNAs corresponding amino acid is attached (by aminoacyl-tRNA synthetases). tRNAs cope with the degeneracy of the genetic code in two manners: having more than one tRNA (with a specific anti-codon) for a particular amino acid; and 'wobble' base-pairing, i.e. permitting non-standard base-pairing at the 3rd anti-codon position. The record is from RNAcentral. Lineage: Bacteria; Bacillati; Bacillota; Clostridia; Thermoanaerobacterales; Desulforudaceae. RNAcentral also lists the same sequence under 1 other name.